Dermochelys coriacea (leatherback sea turtle) is the source of this 4014-nucleotide long non-coding RNA. RefSeq lists it as uncharacterized. The record is from RefSeq and is a predicted model, not a curated record. Lineage: Eukaryota; Metazoa; Chordata; Testudines; Dermochelyidae. The transcript has 2 exons.
UAUAUACUGCUUAAUUUUAUUUAAUUUAAACUAUUUUAACAGAUCAUAGUAAGUUUAGGGCUUAACAUAGGUUGUCAACUUCAAAAGUUUUUUUAAUUUUAAUAAAAAUAGUUCAAAUAGAAAAUUGAUUUUAAUGUAUUUAUUUUAAUCAUCCAUUUUUAUCCAUUGUGUGUCCACAGACAAAAGAGGUUGCAGGAUCAGGGCCAUAGUUUCAGACCUGGGAAUGCUAUGUAGCAGAUACUGCUUUCUGAUGCAGUUGUCUCCAUUGUUGUAAAAGAAGUUCUAUUGUUUAACUUAUUUUUUGUGUGAUAAAGUAUGUCAAAUCAAUGUUAAAAAAUAAACUUUAAGCUAAAGUUAAGAAAGUUUCAAGAAAGCAUGGAUGUGGAGACAAAACAGCUCUGUCAAAAAAUAAGAUGCCUGCUUCCUAACUCAGUCAUACGUAACUUUUUUUUUUUUUUUUUAAGUAGAGUCAUACAUUUUUGUUGUGCUGAAGUAUGCAAACCAAGGGACAACCAGAAAAUCAUUUACUCCCCCCCUUUUUAAAAAAACAAAAACAAAGGCUUUACUAAAAACAAGAGCAAUCCUAGAAAAAACAGAUUUUAAAAAAAUGAAGAGGCUGAGCUAAAGAAAAAGAAAUGGGCAAAAGAAUUAUUUUUUAAAAGUUGAAAAUAGGGAAAUACAGAUUAGAGGGUUUUUUUUUUUAAAUGUAACUGAGUCAGAUUCAUCACAUGAACAAGGUAGCCUAUGCAACCACAUUACCUUAUCGGUGCUAUCCUUGUGCCUCUCCCCAUUUUCAAUCCUGUUUGUUAAAUCCAGUCUGUAAAGAACCAUAGAAACACAGGACCAUUCCAGCUCUAAAGAGGUCAUCUAGCCCACCCCACUGAGGAAGGACCCAAAAAGGUUUGUCCAAACUAUUCUUAAAAGCUUGCCAUGAUAGGGAUUCCACAAGCUCUGCUGGAAGCUUAUUCCAGUACUUAACUGUCUAGUUAGAAAGUUUUUCCUAAAACACCUAACCUAAAUCUCUCUUGCUGCAGAUUAAGCCAAUUACUACUAUUCCUAUCCUCAGUGGACAUGGAGAACAAUUGAUCACCAUCCUUUUUAUACACCUUUCAUAUGUUUGAAAACUUAUGUUCCCUCCCCCUCCAUCUUUUCUCAAGACUAAACACAACCAGUUUUUUUUUUUUUUUUUUAAUUUUCCUCAUAACUGAGGGGAAACUCAUCAUUUUUGUUGCUCUCCUCUGGACUCAAUUUGUCCACAUCAUUCCUGAAGCAUGACACCCUGAACUAGAAACAAUAUUCCAGCUAAUGCCUCACAAGUGCUAAGUAGAGCAGGACAUUACCUUCCACAUGUCACAUAUAACACUCCUGUUAAUACACUCCAGAAUUAUAUUAGCCGCUCUCACAACUGUAUCACUCUGUUGGCCAACAUUCAAUUCCUAGCCAGUUAUUCCCCAUUUUGGAUCUCGGCAUGUGAUUUUUUUUCUUCCUAAAUGUAGUACUUUGCACUUGUCUUUAUUGAAUUUCAUCUUGCGGAUUUCAGAACAAUUCUGCAAUUUAUCAAAGUCCUUUUGAAUUAUAUAUAAGCCUGUCCUUCAAAAUGCUUGCCAUCCCUCCCAGCUUGGUGUCAUCAGCCAAUUUUAUAAGUAUACUCUCCACUCCAUUAUCCAAGUCAUUAAUGAAAACAUUGAAUAGUACCUGACCCAGCGUAGACCCUUGCAGGACCCCACUACAGUUUGACAGUAAACCAUGUUAACUACUCUGUGUUUUCAGAGUUAUAACAACUUGUAGUAAUUUCAUUUAGGCCACAGUCUCAUAAGCCAACUAAGGAGAUAUGAUGUGGGACUGUGUCAAAAGCCAUACUAAAAAUAAAGACAUGUCUAGGUUAAUGACCCUGUCAAAAAAGGAAAUUAGAUUGGUUUAGCAUAAUUUGUUCUUGACAAAUCCAUGUUGGCUAUUAUCCUCUAUUUGCUUAUAAAUGUACCUUAGGAUGAAUUUCAUCAGGUCCUGCCAACUUGAAUACAUCUAACAUCUAAAUAUUCUUUAACCUGUUCUUUCCCUUUUCUAAAAUGCGUUCCUUCCCCCUUGUUGUUAAUAUUAAUUUACGGCUUGUCUUAAACAAAGGCCCUGACCCUACAGUGAGAUACAGUCAAGCACAUUUCUGCACUCAAGGGGAGCCUGACUGAAGUCCAUGAGACUCCACUCAGGACCGUGAGUCAGCCUGUGCAUGUGCCAUUGAAGGAUGGGGACCUUAGGUUUUAAGCUCACUGUAGCAGAGACCAUUAUUACUAUGCGCUUAUACAGCACUUUGCCACAAUGAGGUCCUAAUCUUGAUUAGGGUCUCUAUGCACUACAGUUACACAACGAAUUUAUAACAAAAAUUUUGAAAGUGAGAUGGAAGAUUUAAACAAGUAAAUAAGAGUUGCUGUUAUUUAAAAAAAAAAAAAAAACCUAUACCUUACAAUGUAUCACAGGGGUUUUCAAACUGGGGGUUGUGAACCCUCAGGGCAUCAUGAGGUUAUUACAUGGGGGGUUGCGAGCCGUCAGCCUCCACCCCAAACUCCGCUUCGCCUCCAGCAUUUAUAAUCGUGUUAAAUGUAAAAAAAAAUUGGUUUUAAUUUAUAAGGGGGGGUCACAUUCAGAGGCUUGCUAUGUGAAAAGGGUCACCAAUACAAAAAUUUGAGAACCACUAAAUCAGAAACAGAGUCACCAAAACAUACAGACAUCCCAACCUUAGGUCUCUUGACACACCAGGAUAUAGAAGCUAAGCAAAAAUUGCAUAUCUACAGAUAUUUCUGUAAUUAGACCAAGAUAUUUUCUUUCCUGAUGAGACCAAAAAUGCUGUUUGUGAACUUGCUGGCACAUACUUUACUUGCAGAGAAGACAACGUGAUGGUUCAUUCAACAGUUUUACUGCUGAAACCAAAAACCCCUUUGUUUAAAUUAAGAUGACAGCAUAAUACACGUGUGAAAACUGAGAAAGCACAGAAAUACUAGGAGGCAUUUAUACUUAUUUCUAAGAAUUGUUGAUUGGUUGCCAUUUGCUGAUCAGAGGACUAAUCAAGAAGUCAACUGGCAUAGGGGCAAGCAGCACAGGGAUAGAUACAUGGAGAUCAAUUCCUUUCGUGUUUGGUUGCAGCAGUCUCUCUUCCCAUGUCUGUGGCAGAUCUAACUAAAGCUCUGUUAGAUGGGAACUUACCCAGUCCCCAUCUUUCUCCUUUACAACAUCUCACUAGCACUUUGUAUGCUAUGGCAAGGGAGGAAAUCUAUCAGUUCCUGAUUUUCUCCUGUUAAUGAAUAUUUGAAUGUUUAGAAGUGAGUUCAGCAUGGUUCCCUAAUUCAUUCUGGGGUAUCUGAAAGUCUUCCUGUUUUUUAUGAUGCAGAUAUUCCUGAUAAAACUAGGGGAUAGAGAAAUUUGUAGGCAGGAUCAGUUUAUAAGUAGUUACUUUUGAAUCAUUUAGUCUUGGAAUGCCUGUAGCAUCCCAGUUAUUCCACAUCACAACUAACUGUAAAGUCUUCAAGUAUGGAAUACUCUGCAGAUGAAUUUUUCAAAAAAUAAAGACCCUGUUAUAAACAGAGACCCUAUUUAAAAGAGAAUCUGUUGUUCAUACCUUCCCUUCUGAAAUAUCCUACUAUCACUUUUUAUAUAAAGUGUGGAUAUGUCGUCGUGACUGAACAGAUGAGCUCAAAAGGUUCAACUCCCAUUAACCUAGGCUGCAAUUAUUGAGUCAACAUUUAGAUACAUGGCAUCAGAGGUGUAGCCUGUCAGUCUGUAUCCACAAAAACAAUGAGGAGUCCAGUGCAGACUCCCCAUUAUUUAGAUACAUGGAGUAUUAUUCUAAAACUAGAGCAGACUUUUUUUUUAAUAAUUUAUUAAACAGAAAAAGAUUAAGACAAGUAUGUGUAUUGCAUUUGCAUGUAGUACGUUUCAACAUUUGGGAGACAGAAUAAUAUUUUUCUUCUGAUGCUUUUAUAAAUAAAGGUAAGGUGCUCACACACCAAUGAUGGAUAACCCUAU